GAUCUUAACAAUGACUUUCAGUAUCUUCAUGUAUGAGAGGAGGAUGAGGAAGAUGGGGCCCAGGAUGACAAUGGCAUGGAGGGCAAAAUCCAACACAAUGCUGGUCGAUAUGUCUGUGCAAGCAAGACUGAUCACCUGGGGGAAGUCACAGAAUAUAUGAUCUAUAUGACUAGGCCCACAGAAGGGCAACCUGGAAGUCAGAACAAUCUCCGGCAAAGGACACGCAAAACCACACACACAGCAUCCCAGCACGAGCUGAACACAAAGUUUGGGCGUCAUCUUGGUCAUAUAAAUUAACGGGGCGCAGAUGGCUAAGUACCGGUCGUAAGCCAUCACUGCAAGCAAGCAGGCCUCUGAGAUACCCAAGCUGUGGAAGAAAUAGAUUUGCAGAAGGCAGCUACUGAAGGAAAUGGACUUCUUGCUCCUCAGAAGGUCCACGAGCACCCUGGGCAUGGUAACGGUGGUAUAGAACACCUCCAAGGUGGCCAGCAUAGCAAUGAAGAAAUACAUGGGGACGUGAAGGCGAGGAAUGGCAGAGAUGAGGCUUAAGAUGAGAGCAUUGGCACUGAGGAUGAGCAGGUAGGUCACCAAGAAGAUGGCAAAGAGGAGUAUGCCGUAGUCGCCCAAGUUGAGGAACCCAUCAAGCUGAAACUCAGACACUGAAGUGCCAUUGAUAGAUUCUACCUGCAUCAUAGGUAGGCUAACCUAGAACAGGAAAUAAAAUCUAUGAAGAUGGGUGGCUGGGGAAUGGAAGGUCAUGGAGUUCAUGUAUGCCUCAGACUUUCACUGCAUUUCCCUGUAACUUGAAAGAUACCACUCCCAGAAGCCUGCAAUGAUCAUUAUGACCACACAAAUAGUAUAGUACAGUUCAAUCUUUUUAACAAAAGCUCCAGAAUUUUUGGUAGGAUCUGUGUGUCAAUUACAUAAAACCACAUAUGGUACUUCCAUUCUCAGAUAUGAUUUGAAAAAACAGUGGGUUGGGGUGGGAGGGGAAAAGGAACAUUUUUUUUACUUGGUGCUUUCGGGGUCAUGUGGCCAGCAGGGCUAAACCACUUCUGGCACAACAGGACACUGUGACGGAAACCAGAGUGCAUGGAAACGCCGUUUACCUUCCCGGCACAGCGGUAUCUAUUUAUCAACUUGCACUGGCGUGCUUUUGAACUGUUAGGUUGGCAGGAGCUGGGACAGAGCAACGUGAGCUCACCCCGUCGCAGGGUUUCGAACCGCCAACCUUCUUAUCAGCAAGCCCAAGAAGCUCAGUGGUUUAGACCGCAGUGCCACCAGUGUCCUAGUAUUAGAAGCGAUGGUUAAUAAAGGCUGUGCACUGCUGUGCUCCCUCCCUGCUGAAAGUGAUGGGCACAGUCACUGAAGGCAAAUGUAGUGCACAAUAAUAGGAUGGGGCGUAGCUGGCCAGCUCCCAUCAAUCACAAGAGACAGGAAAGUAGAAAUUGCACAUGAUACCUGGGACUGAAAUGGGUUCAUCUCUUUUCUUCAAAGGGAGCUGUGUGUUUACUCUGCUUUCAGUGCCAGGACUCUAUAGCAUCUGGGGAGUGAUGACAGUGCCUCUGAGUGUAUACAGCUUGUCUUUCUUUCCACCUCUAACAAACCACAGCCAGUUCUCAAACAGUCAAGAUUAAGAAGCAGAGACUGGAGGCCUGAUGAAUUAUUUCCUCAAUGCUUUCAGAAGAUAAAAUAAUAAUAAUAAUAAUAAUAAUAAU
Podarcis lilfordi (Lilford's wall lizard) is the source of this 1718-nucleotide non-coding RNA. The record is from the annotation of a GenBank genome assembly. Lineage: Eukaryota; Metazoa; Chordata; Lepidosauria; Squamata; Lacertidae.